GGCCCUAUCGUCUAGAGGCUAGGACGUAUCCCUCUCACGGAUAAAACUGGGGUUCAAUUCCCCAUAGGGUCACCG
Molecule: transfer RNA, 75 nt
Filed under: Candidatus Moraniibacteriota bacterium
Lineage: Bacteria; Candidatus Moraniibacteriota
Description: tRNA-Glu
Rfam family: tRNA
About the family: Transfer RNA (tRNA) molecules are approximately 80 nucleotides in length. Their secondary structure includes four short double-helical elements and three loops (D, anti-codon, and T loops).
Source: RNAcentral